GAUGCUGGGUCCAAUGCCUCUGAUCGUAUCUCUGUCCAUCCUUCUCAUUCCCACCCAGGUACUAUCGUGGUGCAGUGGGGGCCCUCCUGGUGUUUGACCUAACCAAGCACCAGACCUAUGCUGUGGUGGAGCGAUGGCUGAAGGAGCUCUAUGACCAUGCUGAAGCCACGAUCGUCGUCAUGCUCGUGGGUAACAAAAGUGACCUCAGCCAGGCCCGGGAAGUGCCCACUGAGGAGGCCCGAAUGUUCGCUGAAAACAAUGGACUGCUCUUCCUGGAGACCUCAGCCCUGGACUCUACCAAUGUUGAGCUAGCCUUUGAGACUGUCCUGAAAGAAAUCUUUGCGAAGGUGUCCAAGCAGAGACAGAACAGCAUCCGGACCAAUGCCAUCACUCUGGGCAGUGCCCAGGCUGGGCAGGAGCCUGGCCCUGGGGAGAAGAGGGCCUGUUGCAUCAGCCUCUGACCUUGGCCAGCACCACCUGCCCCCACUGGCUUUUUGGUGCCCCUUGUCCCCACUUCAGCCCCAGGACCUUUCCUUGCC
Molecule: small RNA, 539 nt
Filed under: Pan troglodytes (chimpanzee)
Lineage: Eukaryota; Metazoa; Chordata; Mammalia; Primates; Hominidae
Description: processed transcript
Source: RNAcentral